AUGCGGCGGGAGAGGUGCGGCGCCCCCCACCCGCGUCGCCGCCAUGGAGGUGCUGCGGCGCUCCUCGGUCUUCGCCGCCGAGAUCAUGGACGCCUUUGACCGCUCGCCCACAGACAAGGAGCUGGUGGCCCAGCGUCUACCGCAACGUGGCGCGUCAGCUGCACAUCUCCCUGCAGUCUGAGCCUGUGGUGACCGAUGCGUUCCUGGCCGUGGCUGGCCACAUCUUCUCUGCAGACUGAUGUCCUCAAGUGUGUGGUCAGCACAGACCCUGGCCUCCGCUCCCACUGGCUGGUGGCUGCACUCUGCAGCUUCGGCCGCUUCCUGAAGGCUGCCUUCUUCGUGCUGCUGCCAGAGAGAUGAGCUGCCCACCUGGCAGUGGCCGCAGCCUGGCCCUCUGGGCCCAACGCAGGAGGCCCUCAGCACCCGAACACAUCUUCCUCCUCCCCACCCG
This 451-nucleotide small RNA is filed under the name Homo sapiens (human). Its description in RNAcentral is "BCL2 family apoptosis regulator BOK". The record is from RNAcentral. Lineage: Eukaryota; Metazoa; Chordata; Mammalia; Primates; Hominidae.